GGCACACGUAGCUCAUUUGGCAGAGCGGUGGAAAGUUGAUCCACUGUCCCGGGUUCGAGUCCCGGCGGUCG
Phthorimaea operculella (potato tuberworm) is the source of this 71-nucleotide non-coding RNA. The record is from the annotation of a GenBank genome assembly. Lineage: Eukaryota; Metazoa; Arthropoda; Insecta; Lepidoptera; Gelechiidae.